GCAAGAUACCACGGGCGCACGGCGGAUGCCUUGGCACAGGGAGCCGAUGAAGGACGCGGCAAGCUGCGAUAAUCCCCGGCGAGGAGCACACAUCCUUCGACCCGGGGGUCUCCGAAUGGGCGAACCCAUCCACAGCAGUGUGGAUAUCCCCGGCCCGAACACAUAGGGGCGGGGAGGACAACCCGGGGAACUGAAACAUCUAAGUACCCGGAGGAGAGGAAAUCAAUCUCGAGACUCCCCGAGUAGCGGCGAGCGAAAGGGGACCGAUGGCCAAACCGUCGAGCGGGCAUACCCGGCAGGGGUUCCGCCGACGGGGUUGCAGGGCCGCGCAUCCGGGGGCUGCCGCCCCCGGGCGCAGGUCCGGCUGGGGAGCGGAACGGCAUGGGAGGGCCGGCCGCAGCGGGUGACAGCCCCGUACGCGAACCCAGACCGGACGGCGCGACGCGGUCCCUGAGUAGGGCCGGGCACGUGAAACCCGGUCCGAACCUGGGUGGACCACCAUCCAAGCCUGAGUACUACCCUGUGACCGAUAGCGCACCAGUACCGUGAGGGAAAGGUGAAAAGCACCCCGGGAGGGGAGUGAAACAGUACCUGAAACCGUGCGCCCACGAGCAGUCGGAGCAACUUUACGUUGUGACGGCGUGCCUUUUGUAGAAUGAGCCAGCGAGUCGCUGGCGCGGGGCGAGGUUAACCGAAAGGGAGCCGAAGCGAAAGCGAGCCUUAACAGGGCGACUUGAGUCCCGCGCCGCGGACGCGAAGCCGGGUGAGCUAUCCGUGGGCAGGCUGAAGCGGGGGUAAGACCCCGUGGAGGGCCGAACGCACGUCGGUUGAAAACGGCGGCGAUGACCUGCGGAUAGGGGUGAAAGGCCAAUCAAACCCGGAGAUAUCUCGUUCUCCCCGAAAUAGCUUUAGGGCUAGCGUCGCGCGUUCACCGCCGGAGGUAGAGCACCGGAUGGACGAGGGGGCUUCGCCGCCUACCGAAUCCAACCGAACUCCGAAUGCCGGCGGCCCAGAGCGCGGCAGUCAGAGCAUGUGGGCUAAGCUGUGUGCUCGAGAGGGAAACAGCCCGGACCGCCCGCUAAGGUCCCCAAGUUCCAGCCGAGUGGCAAAGGAUGUGCGUCCGCCCAGACAACCAGGAUGUUGGCUUAGAAGCAGCCAUCCAUUCAAAGAGUGCGUAACAGCUCACUGGUCGAGUGGACAUGCGCCGACAAUACACGGGGCUAAGCUGGACACCGAAGCGGCGGGAUUUUAAUUCAUUAGAAUCGGUAGGGGAGCUUCCCAUGGGCGGAGAAGCCGGAGGGCGACCGACGGUGGAGCGCAUGGGAGUGAGAAUGCUGGCAUGAGUAGCGAGAGACGAGAGAGUAACUCGUCCGCCGUGAACCCGAGGUUUCCUGGGCAAGGCUAAUCCUCCCAGGGUCAGUCGGGGGCUAAGGCGAGGCCGGUAGGCGUAGCCGACGCGCAGCAGGCAGACAUUCCUGCACCGCGCACGCGGCGCUACGACCGACGGGGCGACGGAUGGGGGUGGCUCGGCGGGGUUCUGGACGUCCCCGUGAUGGAGCGCGGCCCGCGGACCAGGGAAAUCCGGUCCGCACGAAGGGCGAGGCUCCGGACGAAGCGACUGAGCGAAGCGAGUGAGCCCGAGGUCCCUAGAAAAACCCCUAGGCAGGCGCGUGCGCGCCCGUACCGCAAACCGACACAGGUGGGUGGGUAGAACAUACCGAGGCGAUCGGGUCAACCAUGGUCAAGGAACUCGGCACAAUGGCCCCGUAACUUCGGGAGAAGGGGUGCCCGCGCGUACGUGAACCGGCUUGCCCGGGGAGCGGAGGCGGGCCGCAGUGGAGAGGCCCAAGCGACUGUUUACCAAAAACACAGGACUCUGCAGAAGCCGCAAGGCGACGUAUAGGGUCUGACGCCUGCCCGGUGCCGGAAGGUCACGCGGAGGAGUUAGCCAUUUCGGCGAAGCCCCGAAGCCAAGCCCCGGUAAACGGCGGCCGUAACUAUAACGGUCCUAAGGUAGCGAAAUUCCUUGUCGGGUAAGUUCCGACCUGCACGAAUGGUGUAA
Molecule: ribosomal RNA, 2062 nt
Filed under: human gut metagenome
Description: bacterial LSU rRNA
Rfam family: Bacterial large subunit ribosomal RNA
Source: RNAcentral